UGCAGUCGAACGGCAGCACGGGGGCAACCCUGGUGGCGAAGUGGCGAACGGGUGAGUAAUAAAUCGGAACGUGCCCGGUAGUGGGGGACAACCAGUCGAAAGACUGGCUAAUACCGCAUACGACCUACGGGUGAAAGCGGGGGACCUUUGGGCAACUGAGGGCCUCGCGCUAUCGGAGCGGCCGAUUUCCGAUUAGCUAGUUGGUGGGGUAAAAGCUCACCAAGGCGACGAUCGGUAGCUGGUCUGAGAGGACGGCCAGCCACACUGGGACUGAGACACGGCCCAGACUCCUACGGGAGGCAGCAGUGGGGAAUUUUGGACAAUGGGCGAAAGCCUGAUCCAGCCAUGCCGCGUGCGGGAAGAAGGCCUUCGGGUUGUAAACCGCUUUUGGCAGGAACGAAACGGCGCGGGCCAAUACCCCGCGUUAAUGACGGUACCUGCAGAAUAAGCACCGGCUAACUACGUGCCAGCAGCCGCGGUAAUACGUAGGGUGCGAGCGUUAAUCGGAAUUACUGGGCGUAAAGCGUACGCAGGCGGCUUGGUAAGACAGAUGUGAAAUCCCCGGGCCUAACCUGGGAACUGCAUUUGUGACUGCCAGGCUCGAGUCUGUCAGAGGGGGGUGGAAUUCCACGUGUAGCAGUGAAAUGCGUAGAGAUGUGGAGGAACACCGAUGGCGAAGGCAGCCCCCUGGGAUGAGACUGACGCUCAUGUACGA
RNAcentral lists this ribosomal RNA (715 nucleotides) under uncultured beta proteobacterium. RNAcentral describes it as "bacterial SSU rRNA". It matches the Rfam family "Bacterial small subunit ribosomal RNA", at positions 56 to 756 of the family's 1533-position model. The record is from RNAcentral. Lineage: Bacteria; Pseudomonadati; Pseudomonadota; Betaproteobacteria.